Molecule: ribosomal RNA, 592 nt
Filed under: uncultured marine eukaryote
Lineage: Eukaryota
Description: bacterial SSU rRNA
Rfam family: Eukaryotic small subunit ribosomal RNA
Source: RNAcentral
AACCUGGUUGAUCCUGCCAGUAGUCAUACGCUUGUCUUAAAGAUUAAGCCAUGCAUGUCUAAGUAUAAAUAGUAUACAGUGAAACUGCGAAUGGCUCAUUAAAACAGUUAUAGUUUAUUUGAUAGUUGAAUGCUACAUGGAUAACCGUGGUAAUUCUAGAGCUAAUACAUGCUUAAAAACCUGACUUCUUGAAAGGUUGUAUUUAUUAGAUUACAAACCAAUAUUCCUUCGGGUCUAUUGUGAUGAUUCAUAAUAACUGAUCGGAGCGAACGCAGUUCGCUAAAUCAUUCAAGUUUCUGCCCUAUCAGCUUUCGAAGGUAGUGUAUUGGACUACCUUGGCAGUCACGGGUAACGGGGAAUUAGGGUUCGAUUCCGGAGAGGGAGCCUGAGAAACGGCUACCACUUCUAAGGAAGGCAGCAGGCGCGUAAAUUACCCAAUCCUGACUCAGGGAGGUAGUGACAAUAAAUAACCAUGCCGGGCCUUUACAAGUCUGGCAAUUGGAAUGAGAACAAUUUAAAUCCCUUAUCGAGAUAUCAAUAGGAAGGCCAGAUCUGGUGCCCACCACCCCCCGGUAAUUCCCAGCCCCCAAUA